AGUGAACGCUGGCGGUAGGCCUAACACAUGCAAGUCGAACGGCAGCACAGGAGAGCUUGCUCUCUGGGUGGCGAGUGGCGGACGGGUGAGGAAUACAUCGGAAUCUACUCUGUCGUGGGGGAUAACGUAGGGAAACUUACGCUAAUACCGCAUACGACCUACGGGUGAAAGCAGGGGAUCUUCGGACCUUGCGCGAUUGAAUGAGCCGAUGUCGGAUUAGCUAGUUGGCGGGGUAAAGGCCCACCAAGGCGACGAUCCGUAGCUGGUCUGAGAGGAUGAUCAGCCACACUGGAACUGAGACACGGUCCAGACCCCUACGGGAGGCAGCAGUGGGGAAUAUUGGACAAUGGGCGCAAGCCUGAUCCAGCCAUACCGCGUGGGUGAAGAAGGCCUUCGGGUUGUAAAGCCCUUUUGUUGGGAAAGAAAUCCAGCUGGCUAAUACCCGGUUGGGGUGACGGUACCCAAAGAAUAAGCACCGGCUAACUUCGUGCCAGCCGCCGCCGUAA
This 506-nucleotide ribosomal RNA is filed under the name uncultured bacterium. RNAcentral's name for it is "partial 16S ribosomal RNA". It matches the Rfam family "Bacterial small subunit ribosomal RNA", at positions 29 to 523 of the family's 1533-position model. The record is from RNAcentral.